GAUGUGGAUGCCAAACUGUCGCCGAGCGUAGCGAGGCGAAAAAAUUUUGAUGAUCUUUUUAUGCAGAAAAUUAUAUUUUUUUUUUUCGGACAAUUCCUAUUUGCACGUGUACUCCCCCAGAAUCCGACACUUGUUAGAUUUUUUAUGUAAUUUCAAAAUACCCACCCAUUCAUAUAUUUCCAACAUAGUUUUAUUGUUUUCUCAAAACUACCAUCAUUCAAUUUAUAAACAUGAUAAAUAUUUGAUGUAAAAGUUUCCACCAAAUCUUAUAUUUGACAUCUCAAAAACGGACCCAUUACAGCGGCACAUCUGUAUAUGCCGGAACUUCGGAACAUAGUGAUUAAUCUUUCGAUUAACGCGUUGCAGGGGACAUGGAAAUAUCGGGCGUCCGUCCCUCCGUCUGUUCGGUCUUGUUGGCACUCGCAUGUGUAUAAUUCUUGCCAGAUUUUUAUGAAACUUAAAUCAUCAGCAAUGUCUUUGACACUAUCAAAAAUAAGUCCUGGUCAAAUAUUUUUAAACGGUUAUGCCCCUUUGAAAUAAAAAUUAUAAUGGAAAUCCCAUUGCAUUUGCUCUGAAGCUUUUAUUUCUCUUUAGAUAUUAUUUUUAGUUAUUGGCCUUGCUUCUUGGAUAGAUAAAAAAAAUGCAAUAUGGCGAGCAUUGGCUCUUCUUUUAUUGAAAAAUUAUUAUUUGUAUCUAG
This 697-nucleotide long non-coding RNA is filed under the name Mytilus galloprovincialis (Mediterranean mussel). The record is from RNAcentral. Lineage: Eukaryota; Metazoa; Mollusca; Bivalvia; Mytilida; Mytilidae.